AUAAGGGGUGAUUCUCCUGUUCUGAUUUUGCAAUUUGAAAUUAUCACAUCCUUCCUAAAGCAAACCUCGGCAAAACAACACCACGGAGAGUUACCAAGAGACUCUUCAGUGUCUAACAGAAGAAGGCUAGCAAUGCAGAGAUUCGAUUAUCUGCUUCUCUGGUUUGACACAACUACACAAAAGCCUUCACAGCCAACACAGGAAAGAUUCCUGGCAAUACAGUGUUUGGUUUGAAUUUCAAAACAGCCUUGAAAACCGUAGACCAUUUAUUAAAAUGAGCCUUGGUUGAUGUAUGUUUGGUUUGUGUGUUAAGUGCAAGUUGGUUCGUGUAUUAUUUGAGCUGAAUAUAUCUCGAGUGGAUUUAUCCUUCAUCAUUCAUGAGCUAUUGAUUGCGGUUGAGAAGUGUCCGUUGUUGUGUGCUGAGUGCAUUGAAGAGCGGAGGUGCAUCAGAUUGAUCAGGUUAGUAAAUGUAGUUGUAAGGUAUGUUAAAUAUUUUCAGGUUGGAGGCAUGGAUGUAGCGUUUUCAUAUAGACCAGGAAUGGAGAGUGGUGUUGAAGAUGCGUUGAAGAUGGGCAAGGAAAGGUUGAAGCAGGAAGAGGCGUUGAAGAUGGAGAAGCCAAGGUUGAAGACAAAGUUCUGUAUUCGGUUCCAAAAGCUGUAUCUGGUUCCAUUUCUCAGAAGAAAAAUAAUGAAUGUAGUGUAUUCGGUUACGGGAGUGCGUAUUCGGUUACGGUGUAGAGUGAGAGGAAAGUUGGGUGGUGUAUUUGAUUCUUCUUCGUUUAUUCGGUUCCAGCUUAUUGGGUGAGCGUGGUGUAGAGCUGGAUUCGGUUACGAGCUGCCUUAUUCGGCUCCAACAAGCUUCAUCGUUCUUCGAUGCUUCAUUCAUUCCGUCAUUUGAUUGUUAACAUGGUUGAUGUUGCGCGUUGUGGGCGUGAAGAACAUUGAUGGACAUGUAGAGGUCCAUGGAGCAGUGCAUGUAGGAGGCCGAUAAUUCAUCCGGCCAUGGGAGUGGUAGGAGUUCGGUGUAUGUCAUGACCCCUAACGUUUUGAUUGUGUUGCAGGUUUUACGAAGGAUAACUAGGGGCUUGGUUUGCUGGUGAAGGUGUUGAAGACUGUCGUGGUCGUUGGUGGAGGUGUUGUCAAAGAAGACGACGGUGUGAAGGUGGUGGACAUUCAUGAGGUGACCAUGAAGGUGUUUGUUGGUCUUGAAACCUUGUUAACAAUAUGUUAUAAUGUUGCAGGUUAUGACAUGCAGUGGAGUUGGAGAUUGAGAGGAGUUUGAUGCAUUCGUGGAUUUGGUGAUUCAUUAUGUGGUGGUGAUUGGAUUUUGAAACCAAGUUGCAAAAAAUCAAUCAAAAGUGUUCAAGAUAGCUUCUCGCUCUCUUCUUCUUCCGUAAUGAUAGCACUGAAAGACAGCGACAACAACUAUCAUAGUAAAACAGGUAUUUUAGGUUUUCUUUGUUAGAGUGGUUCCAUUCAAUAAUAAUUGGGGUGCAGGAAACAAAAGAAAGAAACCAAGGAGAGGGUUUGAUAGAUCAUUUUAAUUUGGUUUAAACCCUUUAGUUGUUCCUAUUUACGUGGAUGUUUUCCAUUUUGAUCACAUUCUUAUUAGAAUCCCCAAUUGAGUCCUUAUAAGUCGUAAUUUGAAUUAAUUGAGCCCUUGUUGUUAAAUUGAGUUAACGAGAUUAAGUUUUUGCACAGGUGAAAGGAUGACUUGUUAAUUUCUUUAAACGUGGCAGAUUUAGAGUUGAAAUGUGGCAUGGAUUAGGCCUUUAUGAGUGGAAUUAUGUAAAAUGUAAUAUUAUAAAAUUAGGGAAUUCUAAAAUGGGAUUUAGGGUUCAAUCAAAUUGAAUUUGGGAUCCUCAAGGAGCUCUCAGAAUUCAUCCUUAAACGCCUCGACAAUAAAAGUCCCGUCGUCAAACAAGGCUUUGAGAUUGAUCAAGUAUGCGGUUGGAAAGUGUGGUGUAGAGUUUAGAAAGGAAAUGCAGAGACAUUCAGUGGUAAUUCGGCAGUUGUUACAAUACAAGGGUCAAUUGGAUCCUCUAAAAGGGGAUGCACUCAAUAAGGCUGUUAGAGACACUGCUCAAGAGACUAUCUUUGCUAUUUUUUCUGCAGAUGAUAACAUCAGCAAGCCACCGUCUUCGGCUUCUGCGUCCGCUGAUCUUAAUAGACGGAUCGAAGGGUUCGGGAACACCAACUAUCUAGCUCCUUCUCAGGAUAAGAAAUCAUUUCUCAAUGAGGUUGUAGAUAUUGUAAGUGCAACCAUUAAGCAAGGACUCAGUGCCUUCACACAGGGCCAUUCUUCGCUUCCCAAAUAGAAUCCCAAAUUCAAUUUGA
Molecule: long non-coding RNA, 2337 nt
Organism: Vigna angularis (adzuki bean)
Lineage: Eukaryota; Viridiplantae; Streptophyta; Magnoliopsida; Fabales; Fabaceae
Exons: 4
Source: RefSeq, a predicted model, not a curated record